RNAcentral lists this ribosomal RNA (467 nucleotides) under uncultured bacterium. RNAcentral's name for it is "partial 16S ribosomal RNA". It matches the Rfam family "Bacterial small subunit ribosomal RNA", at positions 29 to 507 of the family's 1533-position model. The record is from RNAcentral.
ACGAACGCUGGCGGCGUGCUUAACACAUGCAAGUCGAACGGAAAGGCCCUGCUUUUGUGGGGUGCUCGAGUGGCGAACGGGUGAGUAACACGUGAGUAACCUGCCCUUGACUUUGGGAUAACUUCAGGAAACUGGGGCUAAUACCGGAUAGGAGCUCCUGCUGCAUGGUGGGGGUUGGAAAGUUUCGGCGGUUGGGGAUGGACUCGCGGCUUAUCAGCUUGUUGGUGGGGUAGUGGCUUACCAAGGCUUUGACGGGUAGCCGGCCUGAGAGGGUGACCGGCCACAUUGGGACUGAGAUACGGCCCCGACUCCUACGGGAGGCAGCAGUGGGGAAUAUUGCACAAUGGGCGGAAGCCUGAUGCAGCAACGCCGCGUGCGGGAUGACGGCCUUCGGGUUGUAAACCGCUUUCGCCUGUGACGAAGCGUGAGUGACGGUAAUGGGUAAAGAAGCACCGGCUAACUACGUG